This 497-nucleotide ribosomal RNA is filed under the name uncultured bacterium. RNAcentral's name for it is "partial 16S ribosomal RNA". It matches the Rfam family "Bacterial small subunit ribosomal RNA", at positions 30 to 523 of the family's 1533-position model. The record is from RNAcentral.
AUUGAACGCUGGCGGCAUGCCUUACACAUGCAAGUCGAACGGUAACAGGCCGCAAGGUGCUGACGAGUGGCGAACGGGUGAGUAAUACAUCGGAACGUGCCCGAUCGUGGGGAUAACGCAGCGAAAGCUGUGCUAAUGCCGCAUACGAUCUACGGAUGAAAGCGGGGGAUCGCAAGACCUCGCGCGGACGGAGCGGCCGAUGGCAGAUUAGGUAGUUGGUGGGGUAAAGGCCUACCAAGCCGACGAUCUGUAGCUGGUCUGAGAGGACGACCAGCCACACUGGGACUGAGACACGGCCCAGACUCCUACGGGAGGCAGCAGUGGGGAAUUUUGGACAAUGGGCGCAAGCCUGAUCCAGCCAUGCCGCGUGCAGGAUGAAGGCCUUCGGGUUGUAAACUGCUUUUGUACGGAACGAAAAGGUUUCUUUUAAUACAGGGAACUGAUGACGGUACCGUAAGAAUAAGCACCGGCUAACUACGUGCCAGCCGCCGCCGUAA